Long non-coding RNA from Cyclopterus lumpus (lumpfish), 5406 nucleotides. RefSeq lists it as uncharacterized. The transcript has 2 exons. Lineage: Eukaryota; Metazoa; Chordata; Actinopteri; Perciformes; Cyclopteridae. The record is from RefSeq and is a predicted model, not a curated record.
GUGUGUGUGUGUGUGUGUGUGUGUGUGUGUGUAAUUUACAGUAACAUGACUUAACCCAAACUUACAUGAGGUCCUUACAUGUAGUAGGAGUACAAUAGUUUGAGUUUUAUGUUGACAAAUCCACUGGGCACCGUAAGUUAACUUUACUGCAUGCAGUGUUGACAUGAAAGCCAUUUGCCCCAAAGAUUGUUUUUAGUUAAAAAAAAAAAAUCUGCUGUGGCCUAGCCAUUUCUGUGUGGUUAACACUGACCACUGUGAUGAAUGUACAGAAUCACAAGCUGAAAGAAACUAGACCACGUGUUCUGUAACUCACCUCUGUUAGUCUGUUGCAGUGUUUACAUGACUGCUAAUCUCAGCAUGGUUACUGUCAGGCUAUCAGAGCCCAUGCAAAUGUGCCUGAACAGCAGGAAUUUGUGUGAAGAUAAUUGUUAAGUACCUGAGGAGAGUUGUCAUUCCUGUCUCUUUGAUGAACCUCAUCCGUAUUCACCAACAACAUGUAAUCAAGAUGAAAAGCCCUUUAUCUGCUCACCAAUCUAACGUGCAUAAAUAGUUGAGGCCAGGCUAUGCUGCUCCAGAGAAAUGUCUCCUUUAACUGCGUGGGUGUAGUCGUGUUUCAGCCCAGAGCUUCAGCCCCAGUUGUGGGGGUGUGUGGGGGUGUAGCGUUGAGAUCUGGAGAGGCCGGUAACAAGGAUGACACGCCCCCCCCGCUGGCUGGUCGACCACAGCGGAGGGAGACGAGCUUCACAUACAGAGCUCCGUCUGUCUGAGGGUGGAUAUGUGCGGGACAUGUGUUGCACUGUAUAUGUCUUGUGUUAUGUACUUCAUAAGUCUGAGCGUGUGUGUCACAGGGCCACACAGGGACCAAGUAGGCCAGGGUAUCUGCCUGUUAGCCAGAGUAACAUUGUAUCAUAUGUGUCCUUUGGCUCUGCCAGGUGACUGGGGGGCACGGGGAGGUCAGGGAGCAGGGUUCUAUGAGGGGGCAAUUCAGCGGGAACAUUGCAUCCAACAGGUUGUGUACAUUAUAGCCAGGCCAUAUGGUUGAAAUCAAUAUUUCUUUAUAUUUAAAAUACUUUUUGUGAUAAUGAUACCUACAUGUAUGCAAACACCUAUGUAAAUAUAUGCAUAUUGCAGUGAACUGGGCAUUAUAUUUGACAAUAGUGUUCAUGUUAUUUCUUAAGUUACAGUUUGCGUUAAAUCAUUCAUUUACAAUCAAAAUACACUAUGUCCAUAUCCAUAUCAUCACAAAGCUGCUUAACUGAAAUAUGAUAAACACUGAUAUUGCCCAACCCUACUGUGUAAACAACAAUCUUUUUAUAGUAUUUGUAGAUAUUGCCUGUGUGAGUAGACAACCACGUGCAUACACAGAGAGACGGUAUUCUUCUCACAACCUAAAGCUGAACUACAGCCUAAUAUUUGGUGUCAGUGCUCUCUGCAGAAGGGUCUGUGUGGUUUAGCUCCCAGAUCUCCCUUACAACCACCACAAGUCCCAGCUAGUUAACAGCUGUGUUAUCUAUGUAAUGCCCAAACUGGUAGUAGGUUUCCUCCAAGGCUUAGCUACAGAUUGUGCGAUUAGACAUGAACCGAGCUGAAGUUUAACGCUGCCUUUAUAAAAUCAGUUGUGUUCAGUUUUACUGAUGACCCGGCUUGUCAUGGGAGAUGAUCAUGUGAUGUGGUUGCCAUGGUUAAGGGCGGUUGGGAUGUGGUAUGGCAGCUCGGGUGGGUGGCCUUGUGACCUAUGGUAGUUCAGCCACUGCUGGUAUGGUGACUGUAAGAGAGGAGGGUGUCGGUCUGUUUGAUCAUCUCCCUCUGAGUUUCCAGAAACUUAUAUUUUCUUUGCUCAUGACAGGAAGUGUGUUUUUACUUUUGGCUAUGUACAUAUAUUUGUUGAGGUUUUACAGCAUUGGACACAUGUUCGCUUCCUCGGUUGCAAUGAACUAAAUAUAGAUGCUUAAAAAAAAGAUAAUUAAGAUAAGGGUUACGUGUGUUGUUUGCUGCACUGAUCCUCCGCUCUUUCUUUGCAGUUGGUAGCAGUUGCUCUGGCAGGAAGUGUUGCGACAGAGGCAGUGAGAGUGGGUGGUGUGUGUUUGCAUUUUCUACAUUGGACUUAAUCACUAUAUAGGCUCCAUGUUGAAUUACAGACUGCUCUUUCUCUCCCAGCGUCAUCAUGCUAUUUUUGAGGCUCUGUUGUGUUCAAGAGUGGUUUUCUCCUGGUUCUCUUGGCAGAUGUGCCGGUUAUGUACUGUAUCUGUGCUCUCUACAAAUCUCUUUGACUCUAUUAGCCUCUCCUUUUCAACACGUUGUUUACUUUGACACAUCACAUGACAUAUAAUUCAAUAAAUGCGUUUCGACAGUUGCAUUUUAGUUGUAAUGCGGCAGCAUUGUUCAUUUAGUAGUUUGUCUCACACUCAUUUCUUUUUGUACGUAGCAUUACCAUAACAACACAGAAAUAACCAUUGUCUCCUUAUUUGUCUUCCCCUCGAAGGUUGAAUGAGCUUUGUUUUUGCUCUCUUUCUCUCUCUCACACACACACACAUACACACACACACACUGCAGUUAACUCACAUUGUGCACAUUUAAACCCACUGCAGUUUAGAUUCCGGCUGCAUUCCAACACCAAAACUUUGUCCAGACACAAGCAGCAGAGACAUCGCUCUCCUCUAUUGUAAACGGUUCCCUUUCCUUAUCACCCAGUUAUUACUUAGUCCAUGGGUCUUUGACCAUACUGCAAUUAGGAGUGGUAUCUUGCCAUAAGAUUGACGGUGGAUUGUGAGCAGUCUUCAAAUAUGUAUGUAUAUAUUUUUGCUGGAGAAAGUUGUGUCUAUCACAAUAGUUUAGAAGAGUGGGCUUGAUGGUGUAAACUAUUUUUUCUACUGGACUGAGGAAACAUAACAAGGGGUUGUGACUGAUUAUUCGUUCAGUUUUCUCUAAUCUAUGAUUCCCGGAGUGGCCUUCUCAUUCAGAGCGGACUAUGUUGAGAUGGGAAUGUCCCGGAAUUCCUCUCAUUCUUGUCAUUCCUUCAACUGUAAUGUCUGGACAUGUCUUUAGCUGAAAGAGCAAUGGGUUGGGAUGUGACGAGGAGUUGUUUACGUGUACUUUAUGGUUCAUUUCAGGGCUGUUGUCCUCUCAAGUCUGAUUGUAAAUUACUUUUCCUUGUUCCCCAGCUUUUCUUUUCUUUCUUUUUUUUUUUCUUUCUUGAUUGAGACCAAGAACAAACACAAAGGUAGAGAAAGAGAGAGCAGCUGAGAUAACGGAUGAAAGCAAGUGCAGGGUUUGUCUGGACCUCCAGAUACCGCCCCACUGCGUCACAAGAUGGACCCCGCUGGGCACGUCAAUCUGCUCUUUAUACUCAUCUUUAGAUGAUCAUAGCACAGUUCCCUUAGUUCACACCAGAGCUCGAUCUGACAAGGAAACUACGCCAAAUGAGCCAGCUAGACAGUACUAGUUGCUUGCAGUGUUCCCAGUGUGGAUAAAUAACUUUUCUUCAAGGACAAGGAAUGCUUAAAGAUAUGAUUUGUAAUUGAGUUCAGUGGAAAUCAGUGUUUUAAUUAUGAUGGAGGUGGAAAGCAGGUCAUUCAAUUUGUGUGCAAUUUGAUCUUUCUGGAGGUAGAAUUAAAUACGUAAUUCUCAAGAAUUUAGGGUAUUAGGCAUUCAAUAACAUCUCGGUUAACAUGUUACCUUUGGCCUGACUGAGCCAGGCACUGUGUCAGUCACUUGGCUGCUUUUGCUCUCCAGUCGGCCUCAGCUGGUUUGGGUGUGGUUUUUCUUUUACUUGAGGAUUUACGAGAAGUGAACGGCCUUGAAUACUUGUAGUUUGUUUGUGUGCCUGUUUGAUCAUAGGCCUUCAUAAGAUGUUUAGAAGUGAUGCAUUGGGUCACAUUUUGAGAAAGGAAAACAACAUAAUUUGGACCCGACUAUGUGAUUUGUUUGAUUUUGGAAUGUUUGGGUGAAACCACCGAAGAGGCAAGUUAGAAGUUGGUAACUAUUGGUUGUCAUAAUGCCCUGGGGGAUUUUCUGGUGGGAUAUAAUAAUUCUGCACCCUCACCAUAAGGACGUCUGAGGUCAGCAACACAAAGGCAUAUCUGGAUUGGGUUGAACUUGCUAUUUUUAAAUCCAUUACACAGUUUGUGUGUAAAGUUCUUUAAAAAUCAAACAAUUGGUCUACUAAAUCGGAUUACAUCUUCAAAAAAAAGUAUAUAUAUAUAUUUUCUUUUUAAGAAAGAAUGCUAAUCUGGAGCACCAUCCAAUGAAGUCACUGGAGCAUCGUGAGCAGUUGUAAAUAGCUACUUUAAUAAUAACUACAACCUAACAGCAAAUACUUUUAACGGUGGGUAUUACUUGGUUUUUAUCUUUCAUUCUUGCACACAUGCAGGAACGUGGGUUUCAGAGUAUUCAUGUAAUAACAUCAGUGGGAAAUAUGCUUAUCUACCUGACAUCAUUUUCUCACAAGUUAUUGUCCUUGUGUUUUGUCAUUCGAGGUCAGAUAUUACACUUUGAUCUAACUAUUAUCAAGCUCACAUUAGCUGAGGAGUUUAAAUCAUUCCUAAUCUUUUUGUGAUACCCAAAUCUCCCCCCAGUCUCCACAGUUAUUACGAGGCUCAGUUUGGUGGCUCCUGGUGGAAGUUAGCAUUGUGCUAUGGACACUAUAGCACGACCGGAUGCUUGAUGUCAAUGGGGUCUGAACCCUGGCCUUCUGAAGAGGGUUUGUGGCAUCCUCCUCCAGGGUCUGCUCCUGGGUCAUGUGACUGCCUCCCACCACGCUGGUGUUGCCCUCCUGUCACCACAGCAACAUGAGCAUUCUGACUAACAGGCAGAGACAUCUGUGACCUUUCUCACUCAUUUGCAAUCUCAUUUAUUUUUCUCAUUCCAUCAUUUCCCCCCCUCCUCUUCUGAGCUUCUAAAUGUUGUCAUCAAUUCUCUGUAUUCUGUCAUUUCGGAAACACCUUUUUCAUUCAAUUUGGUAUGUUAUUCCAUUCUAGCAAUGUUCCACUUUGUGAGAACUGUUUUUAGAUAGGUACCAUGUUACUGUCUACUGCAAAUCAAGUUAUGUAAUCUUGUUCAGUCUCUCAGUCCAGAUUCAUCAUCACACUUUUCUCUGGAGGCAGGGUUAUGCAACAUCUCUGUUAUAACCUGAGCAACUAGGGGGCAGAAAAAAUACCUUGUGGGAGACAGACGCUAAAAAAGGAAUAGCUGACAUUGUGUAUAGUAGGAAGUACGUGUGAGAUGCCUUACUGCCUUGUUGAGAAGAGUUCUGACGAUAUAUGUGUUUGUCAUCGUGUUCAUAGGGAUAGUCAGUAUGGAUACCUCCAACACAACAUAUGGGAAUAAUGGCCUUGACAAUGCCAAAAUGUCAUGUUCAUAACUUUACCAAAAACAAUAAAUCAGCCCGUCGACACAGUAAAACACCCA